RNAcentral lists this ribosomal RNA (253 nucleotides) under uncultured bacterium. RNAcentral describes it as "partial 16S ribosomal RNA". It matches the Rfam family "Bacterial small subunit ribosomal RNA", at positions 524 to 776 of the family's 1533-position model. The record is from RNAcentral.
UACGUAGGGGGCGAGCGUUGUCCGGAUUUAUUGGGCGUAAAGAGCGUGUAGGCGGCCAGGUAGGUCUGCUGUGAAAACUCGAGGCUCAACCUCGAGACGUCGGCGGAAACCAUCUGGCUAGAGUCCGGAAGAGGAGAGUGGAAUUCCUGGUGUAGCGGUGAAAUGCGCAGAAAUCAGGAAGAACACCCGUGGCGAAGGCGGCUCUCUGGGACGGUACUGACGCUGAGACGCGAAAGCGUGGGGAGCGAACAGG